This 332-nucleotide ribosomal RNA is filed under the name uncultured Gemmatimonas sp. RNAcentral describes it as "bacterial SSU rRNA". It matches the Rfam family "Bacterial small subunit ribosomal RNA", at positions 568 to 898 of the family's 1533-position model. The record is from RNAcentral. Lineage: Bacteria; Pseudomonadati; Gemmatimonadota; Gemmatimonadia; Gemmatimonadales; Gemmatimonadaceae.
CGCGUAGGUGGUUUGAUAAGGGUGUGGUGAAAGUCCGGGGCUCAACCCCGGAUCUGCCGUGCCGACUGUCAAACUCGAGGACUGUAGAGGCAGACGGAAUUCCGGGUGUAGCGGUGGAAUGCGUAGAGAUCCGGAGGAAGACCGGUGGCGAAGGCGGUCUGCUGGGCAGUUUCUGACACUGAGGCGCGACAGCGUGGGGAGCAAACAGGAUUAGAUACCCUGGUAGUCCACGCCGUAAACGAUGGGUACUAGGUGCCUGGGGGAGCGACCCUCUGGGUGCCGGCGCUAACGCAGGAAGUACCCCGCCUGGGGAGUACGACCGCAAGGUUGAA